Molecule: ribosomal RNA, 253 nt
Filed under: uncultured bacterium
Lineage: Bacteria
Description: partial 16S ribosomal RNA
Rfam family: Bacterial small subunit ribosomal RNA
Source: RNAcentral
UACGUAGGGGGCAAGCGUUGUCCGGAUUUAUUGGGCGUAAAGAGCGUGUAGGCGGCCUGAAAGGUCAGCUGUGAAAACUCGAGGCUCAACCUCGAGACGUCGGUUGAAACCAUCUGGCUAGAGUCCGGAAGAGGAGAGUGGAAUUCCCGGUGUAGCGGUGAAAUGCGCAGAUAUCGGGAAGAACACCCGUGGCGAAGGCGGCUCUCUGGGACGGUACUGACGCUGGGACGCGAAAGCGUGGGGAGCGAACAGG